AUUGGCAAGAGUGGGGACAUGGAAGCUGUGUUCAGGCCGGUCCACGCUGGGUGACCCAUGUGACCUGCUGCUUAGCAAUUCCUUGUCACCAUCUUCCCUUCUCAGCCUCUUUUUUCAUGCUAACAGGCAUAAAUGAAAUGAUAAAAGUUUGAGCUCUUCUCGUGGAAUUCUCGUGAUACAGAUAUGUGCUACAUGUUCAUCAUCUCGUUGGUCUUCACCAUGAUAACUGUGGAGUAAGAAUUAUAAGCAGGUCACAGAUUAGGGACUUGAGAUUGACAGUUUGGCUUCCCUGUUCUGGGUGGCAAAGCCUGUGGAGUACUCACCUACCUGCUGCAUGAAGGCAGCAUGGAGGGACUGUGGUGGAUUAUCUGCAAAGAUGGCCAAAAUUCUCUCAUCCCUGCAGGCACAUACAAGCCAGGUUUCCAGAAGUUCCCCAGUCAUUGAGCAUUUCUGAGGCUCUUGAUGCAUAUGCCAAGUAGUUAUGGAGAAAGACACAGCAGCUUACCUCUGCAGGCAUCAUUGUGUGAAAGGAAGACCCAGGCUCUCUCACCACCCUUGAACAGAAGCCU
RNAcentral lists this long non-coding RNA (569 nucleotides) under Homo sapiens (human). RNAcentral's name for it is "non-protein coding lnc-CMPK2-5:64". Lineage: Eukaryota; Metazoa; Chordata; Mammalia; Primates; Hominidae. The record is from RNAcentral.